RNAcentral lists this ribosomal RNA (303 nucleotides) under uncultured bacterium. RNAcentral describes it as "partial 16S ribosomal RNA". It matches the Rfam family "Bacterial small subunit ribosomal RNA", at positions 507 to 807 of the family's 1533-position model. The record is from RNAcentral.
AGCAGCCGCCGCGGGAAUACGUAGGGUGCGAGCGUUGUCCGGAAUUAUUGGGCGUAAAGGGCUCGUAGGCGGUUUGUCGCGUCGGGAGUGAAAACACUGGGCUUAACCGAGUGCUUGCUUUCGAUACGGGCAGACUAGAGGUAUUCAGGGGAGAACGGAAUUCCUGGUGCAGCGGUGAAAUGCGCAGAUAUCAGGAGGAACACCGGUGGCGAAGGCGGUUCUCUGGGAAUAUCCUGACGCUGAGGAGCGAAAGUGUGGGGAGCGAACAGGAUUAGAUACCCCGGUAGUCCCUGUCUCUUAUAC